GUUUGAUCCUGGCUCAGGAUGAACGCUGGCGGCGUGCUUAACACAUGCAAGUCGAACGAAGCACUUUAUUUGAUUUCUUCGGAAUGAAGAUUUUGUGACUGAGUGGCGGACGGGUGAGUAACGCGUGGGUAACCUGCCUCAUACAGGGGGAUAACAGUUGGAAACGACUGCUAAUACCGCAUAAGCGCACAGGGUCGCAUGACCUGGUGUGAAAAACUCCGGUGGUAUGAGGUGGACCCGCGUCUGAUUAGCCAGUUGGUGGGGUAACGGCCUACCAAAGCGACGAUCAGUAGCCGACCUGAGAGGGUGACCGGCCACAUUGGGACUGAGACACGGCCCAAACUCCUACGGGAGGCAGCAGUGGGGAAUAUUGCACAAUGGGGGAAACCCUGAUGCAGCGACGCCGCGUGAGCGAAGAAGUAUUUCGGUAUGUAAAGCUCUAUCAGCAGGGAAGAAGAAAUGACGGUACCUGACUAAGAAGCACCGGCUAAAUACGUGCCAGCAGCCGCGGUAAUACGUAUGGUGCAAGCGUUAUCCGGAUUUACUGGGUGUAAAGGGAGCGCAGGCGGUACGGCAAGUCUGAUGUGAAAGCCCGGGGCUCAACCCCGGUACUGCAUUGGAAACUGUCGGACUAGAGUGUCGGAGGGGUAAGUGGAAUUCCUAGUGUAGCGGUGAAAUGCGUAGAUAUUAGGGAACACCAGUGGCGAAGGCGGCUUACUGGACGAUUACUGACGCUGAGGCUCGAAAGCGUGGGGAGUAAACAGGAUUAGAUACCCUGGUAGUCCACGCUGUAAACGAUGAAUACUAGGUGUCGGGGAGCAUUGCUCUUCGGUGCCGCAGCAAACGCAAUAAGUAUUCCACCUGGGGAGUACGUUCGCAAGAAUGAAACUCAAAGGAAUUGACGGGGACCCGCACAAGCGGUGGAGCAUGUGGUUUAAUUUGAAGCAACGCGAAGAACCUUACCAAGUCUUGACAUCCCGAUGACAGAACAUGUAAUGUGUUUUCUCUUCGGAGCAUCGGUGACAGGUGGUGCAUGGUUGUCGUCAGCUCGUGUCGUGAGAUGUUGGGUUAAGUCCCGCAACGAGCGCAACCCCUAUUCUUAGUAGCCAGCGGUUCGGCCGGGCACUCUAGGGAGACUGCCCGGGAUAACCUGGAGGAAGGUGGGGAUUACGUCAAAUCAUCAUGCCCCUUAUGACUUGGGCUACACACGUGCUACAAUGGCGUAAACAAAGGGAAGCGAGCCUGCGAGGGGGAGCAAAUCUCAAAAAUAACGUCUCAGUUCGGACUGCAGUCUGCAACUCGACUGCACGAAGCUGGAAUCGCUAGUAAUCGCGAAUCAGAAUGUCGCGGUGAAUACGUUCCCGGGUCUUGUACACACCGCCCGUCACACCAUGGGAGUUGGUAAUGCCCGAAGUCAGUGACCUAACCGCAAGGAGGGAGCUGCCGAAGGCAGGAUCGAUAACUGGGGUGAAGUCGAAACAAGGUA
RNAcentral lists this ribosomal RNA (1486 nucleotides) under metagenome. RNAcentral's name for it is "bacterial SSU rRNA". It matches the Rfam family "Bacterial small subunit ribosomal RNA". The record is from RNAcentral.